Molecule: ribosomal RNA, 1446 nt
Filed under: bacterium
Lineage: Bacteria
Description: bacterial SSU rRNA
Rfam family: Bacterial small subunit ribosomal RNA
Source: RNAcentral
CCCUUUGCGCGGCCUACACAUGCAAGUCGAGCGGUAGCACAGAGAGCUUGCUCUCGGGUGACGAGCGGCGGACGGGUGAGUAAUGUCUGGGAAACUGCCUGAUGGAGGGGGAUAACUACUGGAAACGGUAGCUAAUACCGCAUAAUGUCGCAAGACCAAAGAGGGGGACCUUCGGGCCUCUUGCCAUCAGAUGUGCCCAGAUGGGAUUAGCUAGUAGGUGGGGUAACGGCUCACCUAGGCGACGAUCCCUAGCUGGUCUGAGAGGAUGACCAGCCACACUGGAACUGAGACACGGUCCAGACUCCUACGGGAGGCAGCAGUGGGGAAUAUUGCACAAUGGGCGCAAGCCUGAUGCAGCCAUGCCGCGUGUAUGAAGAAGGCCUUCGGGUUGUAAAGUACUUUCAGCGGGGAGGAAGGUGUUGAGGUUAAUAACCUCAGCAAUUGACGUUACCCGCAGAAGAAGCACCGGCUAACUCCGUGCCAGCAGCCGCGGUAAUACGGAGGGUGCAAGCGUUAAUCGGAAUUACUGGGCGUAAAGCGCACGCAGGCGGUCUGUCAAGUCGGAUGUGAAAUCCCCGGGCUCAACCUGGGAACUGCAUUCGAAACUGGCAGGCUAGAGUCUUGUAGAGGGGGGUAGAAUUCCAGGUGUAGCGGUGAAAUGCGUAGAGAUCUGGAGGAAUACCGGUGGCGAAGGCGGCCCCCUGGACAAAGACUGACGCUCAGGUGCGAAAGCGUGGGGAGCAAACAGGAUUAGAUACCCUGGUAGUCCACGCCGUAAACGAUGUCGACUUGGAGGUUGUGCCCUUGAGGMGUGGCUUCCGGAGCUAACGCGUUAAGUCGACCGCCUGGGGAGUACGGCCGCAAGGUUAAAACUCAAAUGAAUUGACGGGGGCCCGCACAAGCGGUGGAGCAUGUGGUUUAAUUCGAUGCAACGCGAAGAACCUUACCUACUCUUGACAUCCAGAGAACUUUCCAGAGAUGGAUUGGUGCCUUCGGGAACUCUGAGACAGGUGCUGCAUGGCUGUCGUCAGCUCGUGUUGUGAAAUGUUGGGUUAAGUCCCGCAACGAGCGCAACCCUUAUCCUUUGUUGCCAGCGGUCCGGCCGGGAACUCAAAGGAGACUGCCAGUGAUAAACUGGAGGAAGGUGGGGAUGACGUCAAGUCAUCAUGGCCCUUACGAGUAGGGCUACACACGUGCUACAAUGGCGCAUACAAAGAGAAGCGACCUCGCGAGAGCAAGCGGACCUCAUAAAGUGCGUCGUAGUCCGGAUUGGAGUCUGCAACUCGACUCCAUGAAGUCGGAAUCGCUAGUAAUCGUAGAUCAGAAUGCUACGGUGAAUACGUUCCCGGGCCUUGUACACACCGCCCGUCACACCAUGGGAGUGGGUUGCAAAAGAAGUAGGUAGCUUAACCUUCGGGAGGGCGCUACCACCUUUUGAUUCAGGGG